Molecule: non-coding RNA, 74 nt
Organism: Pangasius djambal
Lineage: Eukaryota; Metazoa; Chordata; Actinopteri; Siluriformes; Pangasiidae
Source: the annotation of a GenBank genome assembly
GGUGGUGCUAGCUCAGUGGUUAAGACAUUGGACUUCUGUUUGGAAGGUUAUGAGUUCAAAUCCCAGCAUUACCA